GGGGAUUUAGCUCAGUGGUAGAGCGUUUGCCUAGCAAGCGCAAGGCCCUGGGUGCAGUCCCCA
Molecule: non-coding RNA, 63 nt
Organism: Rattus norvegicus (Norway rat)
Lineage: Eukaryota; Metazoa; Chordata; Mammalia; Rodentia; Muridae
Source: Rfam